AAUCAACGCUGGCGGCGUGCCUCAGACAUGCAAGUCGAACGCGAAAUUCCCUUUCGGGGGGAGAGUAGAGUGGCGCACGGGUGAGUAACACGUAGGUAAUCUACCUCUGGGUGGGGAAUAACAGCCGGAAACGGCUGCUAAUACCGCAUAAUGCAGCGGCAUCAAAUGAUGACAGUUGUUAAAGCGGGGGAUCCUGAAAGGGACCUCGCGCCUGAAGAGGAGCCUGCGGCAGAUUAGCUAGUUGGUAAGGUAACGGCUUACCAAGGCGACGAUCUGUAGCCGGCCUGAGAGGGCGGUCGGCCACACUGACACUGACAUACGGGUCAGACUCCUACGGGAGGCAGCAGUCGGGAAUUUUGGGCAAUGGGCGAAAGCCUGACCCAGCAACGCCGCGUGAAGGAUGAAAUCCCUCGGGAUGUAAACUUCGCAAGAAUAGGAAGAAUAAGGAGGGGUUAAUAACCUUUUGAUGACGGUACUAUUUGUAAGCUCCGGCUAACUCCGUGCCAGCA
Molecule: ribosomal RNA, 509 nt
Filed under: uncultured bacterium
Lineage: Bacteria
Description: bacterial SSU rRNA
Rfam family: Bacterial small subunit ribosomal RNA
Source: RNAcentral